AACGAACGCUGGCGGCAUGCCUAACACAUGCAAGUCGAACGAGACCUUCGGGUCUAGUGGCGCAUGGGUGCGUAACGCGUGGGAACCUGCCCUUAGGUUCGGAAUAACUCCCCGAAAGGGGUGCUAAUACCGGAUAAUGUCUUCGGACCAAAGAUUUAUCGCCUUUGGAUGGGCCCGCGUUGGAUUAGCUAGUUGGUAGGGUAAAAGCCUACCAAGGCGACGAUCCAUAGCUGGUCUGAGAGGAUGAUCAGCCACACUGGGACUGAGACACGGCCCAGACUGCUACGGGAGGGAGCAGUGGGGAAUAUUGGACGAUGGGCGAAAGCCUGAUCCAGCAAUGCCGCGUGAGUGAUGAAGGCCUUAGGGUUGUAAAGCUCUUUUACCCGGGAUGAUAAUGACAGUACCGGGAGAAUAAGCACCGGCUAACUCCGUG
This 433-nucleotide ribosomal RNA is filed under the name uncultured bacterium. RNAcentral's name for it is "partial 16S ribosomal RNA". It matches the Rfam family "Bacterial small subunit ribosomal RNA", at positions 29 to 507 of the family's 1533-position model. The record is from RNAcentral.